AUUUAGGAAUAAUAAGGCUAAUUACAUGGCUGAAUGUCAGUCAGCAUUGUACAUGUAUGAAACAGAAUAAAUUCCUACCAAUUACAACUAAUAUACAAAGCAUCUUUUCUAAAUUGCUAGCUGUAAAUUAGUUUCCCUUAUUAGUUCGUAUAGCAUAUAUCCAAUUGACAUCCACCUCAAAUUGAUGUUGGGUGAUAAAAAAAAAUCAAUAUGCUCACAAAAAAGAGAUAAUGUUGUCAUGUCAUAGCUUUGGUAAAUAUAUCGGCAAUCUGAAGAUCAAUAGACAUAUGCGAAAGAGAAAUAAUACUAGUAUCGGAAGUCUCUAGAUGAAUGACAAUCCACUUUGAUAUGUUUUUGUAUGCUCAUGAUAUUCUAUUUGCAGCAAUUUGAAUAGCAUUUGUGUUGUCUGCAUGAAGGGGGUAUCAGAUUAGAUUGAGGAAGCGAAGUUCAGCUAAAAGCCCACAAAGCCAAAUAAUCUUAGAAUAGGCAACGGACAUGGCACGAUAUUCGGAUUAUAUUUUGUAGAUUUGGACACACAAGCCUGCUUUUUACUUUUUUUGGAGAUCAAAGAAUUAUCAAGAAACAUACACCAAAACGUAAUAGAACGAGUAUCGGGACACUUAGCCCAAUUCGCAUUAUUAAACGCAAUAAGGCCAAUAGGAUAGCUAGCAAGAAAAAAUCCACGAUGACAAGUACUUUGGAGAUACCGAAUGUGCGACGAACAACCCCAAGAUGGAGAUGUUGUGGAGCUUGCAUAAAUUGAUUGACUUGCUGGACGAUGAAUGAUAUAUCAGGCCUAGUGAUGGUCAAGUAGUUGAGGCUCCUAACUAAUUGCUGAAAGAUAGUGGGAUUAGGAAAGAUAUCACCCUCCUGACGAUGAUAUUUUACAUUGACUUCUAGAGUGUCAAUAAUGAAAGAAUCCUGAAGACGAGCCAAAGUGAUCAAGUCUUGAAUGUAUUUAUGUUGGUUCAAGAAUAUACCUAUGGAAUUGGUAUGUACUUCCAACCCUAAAAAUAUGUAUGCGGACCAAGAUCAUUCAUAUGAAAGGAAGUGUGUAGAUGCUAUUGGAGUUGAGUGAUUAACUCAGAAUCUAUGUCGGUGGUAACAAUGUUGUCUACAUAUACAAGUAAAAGAACAAUACCAGUAGACGUCUUGCAAAAAAAUAGAGAGGAGUCGUACUGGCUCUGGAUAAAAGAAAGCUGUAGCAAAGUAGAUCGAAACUUCUUAAACCAUGCUCGAGGAGCUUGUUUCAACCCAUAACGAACCUCUUUACCUUACAUGUGAAGGAGAGGAAAAGAGACUCGGAGAAGGUGCUAUGUAAAUAUCCUCCUUGAGAUCACCAUGAAUAAAAGCAUUUUUAACGUCCAUCUAGUGAAGAGGCCACCUCUGAGAGGUAGCAAUAGAAAGAACAGUGCGCAUCGUAAAGAAAGAUGGAAGAAAACUAAUUUCAGGAUGUUGAACAUGAGUAGUAAAGAAAGAUUGGUGUUCAAAGAAAACAACAUUACGAGAAAUACAAAAUCUGUUAGAGCAAGGAUCAUAGCAAACAUAGCCUUUGUGCGUAACAAGAUAACUCAUAAAAGCACAUUUAACAGAUUGAGCAGAAAGUUUGUGUGUUCAUGAUGAGGUAAAUGAACAAAGCAAAUGUACCCAAAAGUAUGCAAGUCAUAAUAAGUAGGAUAUUGAUUAUGAAGAUAAUAUGAAGAGUUAAAGUGUAAAAUUUGGGAAGGCAAUCUAUUGAUUAAAUAAACUGUAGAAAACAUUGCUUCAACCUAGAAUUUUGAAGGAACAUAGGAAUCGAGUAAAAAUGUACGAACAUCCAAGAGAUAGCGAUUCUUUCGUUCCCUACCCCAUUUUGUUGAGGAGUAUAAGUACAUGAUCGUUGAUACAAAAUCCCUUUCUAUUUUAAGAAAUCAUGAAACUCAUUAGACAUAUAUUUCCUACUCAAAUCAGAUCGUAAAUUUUAAUACUGGUGGAGAAUUGGGUCUAAACAUGUCACAAAAGUCUUGAAAACUACAAGUACUUCAUAUUUAAAAUGGUGAAAGUAGAUCCAUGUGUAUCGAUUAUAAUCAUCAAUGAAAGUCACAAAAUACUUUUACUGGACAUGAGAGUCUACAGGCGUAGUGCCCCAAGCAUCAUUAUGCACAACAUCAAAGCUCUUUUCGGCACGACUACUGUAAGAAGGGAAAGGAAGAGUCCUUUCCCAAUUUGCACGUAGAACAAUCAAAGCACAAAUUAUGAGAACUGUUUUUAUUACCCAACAAAUUAGAAUUUAACAAAUAAGAUAGGAUAGUGGAGUUUGGAUGGCCGAAAAGUUUUUGCCAGACUUUGCUUUUAUUGUUAAACAGUUAUACAGGCCAAAGAUAAAUAACUAUGAAUAUAAAAAUAUAAUGGAAAUAAUCAUCC
This 2403-nucleotide long non-coding RNA is filed under the name Olea europaea subsp. europaea. Lineage: Eukaryota; Viridiplantae; Streptophyta; Magnoliopsida; Lamiales; Oleaceae. The record is from RNAcentral.